This 460-nucleotide ribosomal RNA is filed under the name uncultured bacterium. RNAcentral's name for it is "partial 16S ribosomal RNA". It matches the Rfam family "Bacterial small subunit ribosomal RNA", at positions 338 to 795 of the family's 1533-position model. The record is from RNAcentral.
CCUACGGGAGGCAGCAGUGAGGAAUAUUGGUCAAUGGCCGGAAGGCUGAACCAACCAUGCCGCGUGAAGGUCAGUGCCCUAUGGGCGUUAAACUUCUUUUGUGCGGGAGCAAUAAUGGUCACGUGUGGCCAGACGAGAGUACCGUACGAAUAAGCAUCGGCUAACUCCGUGCCAGCAGCCGCGGUAAUACGGGGGAUGCAAGCGUUAUCCGGAUUUAUUGGGUUUAAAGGGUGCGUAGGCUGUGAGGUAAGUCAGCGGUGAAAUGCCCCCGCUCAACGGGGUGAAGUGCCAUUGAUACUGCCUUGCUGGAAUGCGGAUGCCGUGGGAGGAAUGUGUGGUGUAGCGGUGAAAGGCAUAGAGAUCACACAGAACACCGAUUGCGAAGGCAUCUCACGAAUCCGCGAUUGACGCUGAUGCACGAAAGCGUGGGUAUCAAACAGGAUUAGAUACCCGGGUAGUC